This 492-nucleotide ribosomal RNA is filed under the name uncultured bacterium. RNAcentral's name for it is "partial 16S ribosomal RNA". It matches the Rfam family "Bacterial small subunit ribosomal RNA", at positions 29 to 507 of the family's 1533-position model. The record is from RNAcentral.
AGUGAACGCUGGCGGUAGGCCUAACACAUGCAAGUCGAACGGCAGCACAGUAAGAGCUUGCUCUUACGGGUGGCGAGUGGCGUACGGGUGAGGAAUACAUCGGAAUCUACUUUUUCGUGGGGGAUAACGUAGGGAAACUUACGCUAAUACCGCAUACGACCUACGGGUGAAAGCAUGGGAUCUUCGGACCUUGCGCGAUCUAAUGAUCCGAUGGCGUAUUCGCUAGUUGGCUGGGUAAAGGCCCACCAAGGCGACGAUCCGUAUCUGGUCUGAGAGGAUGAUCAGCCACACUGGAACUGAGACACGGUCCAGCCUACUACGGGAGGCAGCAGUGGGGAAUAUUGGACAAUGGGCGAAAGCCUGAUCCAGCCAUACCGUGUGGGUGAAGAAGGCCUUCGGGUUGUAAAGACCUUUUGUUGGGAAAGAAAAGCAGCAGGUUAAUACCACGCUGUUCUGACGGUACCCAAAGAAUAAGCACCGGCUAACUUCGUG